UGAGUCACACGAGAGACAUACUAUCCGUUGCCUGAUUGUUCAAGAAGAGUUUAUGUGCUGUGAAACAUAUUUGUUUCUUUUCAUCAGUUGCUUUGUUUAAUCUUUUUUCCUGCAAAUAAUGAUGGCUUUGACAGUUCAUUCACGGGAGCCAAGAAGUAAAAGAAGAAGAAGCCAGUGAGUGUUUGACAUUUUCUGUCUUCCUGAGUUUUUUUUCCAUCCAUUACUUGGAUUUUGAAGAUUAUGUGUCUCACAUUCUUUUUAUUUUGAUGGUUGUUAGGUUGAAUGAAGAUCAUUGAAUAAAGAAAAUGUCGAUGCUCCUGAAGAUUUGGAGGGUACUUUAUAUUUCUUUCUCUGAUAAUUCUAUCGACAUAAAUUUGAACCUUACAGAGGGUAUAUUGCUGAGCAUCCUAAUGAUGAGGAAGAGGUGGAGGGAAUUGAUCUGCACCAGCAACGUUACCUGUGGGAGGGAAGUGACAUGGAUUACUUAUACGACGAGAGUUCUUUUGCACAGCUAUUGUCAAUGGAAUUAACACUGGAAAUUGAUGGUGCUAUAUUUCAUGUUCCAAAUGCUAACGCAAGCUCCAAUGUUGAUUCUCAGCUUUAACAUGCCAAAAUCACAAUGCAGUGGGUGUUGUAAGGAACCGUUUGUAAAUAAAUGUCUCGGAUGUAUAUGACUGCUUAGUUUGUUGCUUUUGACAGUGAAAUCACUAAGCUUGCAAUGUGUCAAGACAGCAAAAGCAUCUCAGCUGAUGAUUGUGAAUGAAAGGCACAAGCAGGGAACAUAUGUGUAGCUGCGUUCGACUCGACAUGUAGCGGUAUCUGCAGAUCUGUUGAUCCCAUUGUGGAGGUUAACAUGCAAUGUUUUGACCUGGAAAUCAUUAUUUGGAAGUUACAUUUCGAGGCAUUUCCUCAACAUAUAAAUAGACCAUAGACAGAGUUUGAUAUUUAUAAUAUUCAGUGAUCAUGGAGUCUGCAGAAAACAGUCCUUUUGCAUAUUCUAUAUGGAACCAAGAGAUAUGUCCUUUGUUUGAUGAUUGUAUUAUGAUAGCUACUAACAUAGGAGAUGACUAGAGAAAGCGAAAUGAGUAUGAAACUCUUAUAUGGGUAGCUUUUGUAAACACAUUUGAGUUUAUUAACAGUUGUGACAAGCAAUUAUGUUUAUAGUAAAGGAAAUCCGCCGCAGCGUCAAUAACAAAUGCGCCUGUUUUUUUGUUGUUUGGGAUUGAAAUAGCUUAUGGGUUUUCUAAAUCAAUAUAAUUGAUUUGACUAAACAUAUCUUGGAUGACAAAAAGAAGGAUUGCAAGUUUAAUAACUUCUACUUUAGACUUUAAUUUCAACUAAAUUAUAAUCAGUAUUUUAUCCAUAUCAUCUUAGUUAUAAUCGUAAGGAUUUAUUAGAAUAAAUAAACAGUUUCAACAAUAUUUAAUAUGUGAUUUAAUAAACAAAAGAACAUGUAGGAUUUUUAGGAUUUAAAGAGAUUGAAGACAAUGGUUAAUGAAUAUGAAAAGAAUACGAAGCAGAUGAUGAAAAAUAAUUCGAGCAAAUUAGUGGCAACACAGAGCUAAGCGAGAUAAAAAUAUCAAUCAAUAAAGAAUGAAAGAAGAAUGAGCAGGGUUAAGUUAUUACACAAGCCAAAACUAAGACAAAUCAAACGACAGAACGUGAAAACAAAUGUAAACAAGACAAGAGGAGAUGGUGAAGAUAAAAUGCAUUGAAAAACUGAAUGCUAGAUUAGUAAGCAAGAGACAAAAA
Long non-coding RNA from Brassica napus (rape), 1752 nucleotides. RefSeq lists it as uncharacterized. Lineage: Eukaryota; Viridiplantae; Streptophyta; Magnoliopsida; Brassicales; Brassicaceae. The transcript is spliced from 4 exons. The record is from RefSeq and is a predicted model, not a curated record.